UUAAGGAAUGGCGCUUAUCCUGUACAACGCCAUUUUCAUUUGUUUAUCGUGAUUUUGUUAUUCUCAGCUCAGUGUUGUGUGUGGUUUGGUCCGCGUGAUUGCGGAUGAAAAGCUAAAUUAACAUUUUCCUGCAGAUACACGUCAGGGUAGAAUGUUGCUGUGGAGCGCUUUUCAGUAACGUAGCAUGCUAGGCAGCGUGAGCGGGUGCUAGCUGUUAGCUUAAAUUAGCUGCCAGCGUUAGUUGAUGAGCGUGUUGGAGGCCAGUGUCUACUUUGCGUUUAGCGGGAUGUGUGGUUAUUGUUCUCGGUUUGAGAAGUUUGCCCGUGGAGUAGUAGUGAUGGAACUGCACGCCCCUGUACAUUUCCGUACACGCGUUUGUUGCUGGAGCUUCUUAAACGGCCUCAUUGUUAGCAAGUGCAGAAGUCUUUCCCAGAGAGGCCGAGCAGCGAUAACGGAAAGGAUUGGAAAUGGGGAAUUUGGGCAGUAUAUGUGUGGAGCACGCGGAGGGAUGCUUGGUGGACUGGGUGGCGUGUUGUUAUCAGAGGGGAGCAGACAGCGGAGACGUCGCUAAGCCUCGCAUUCAAACCAGGCCGCCUUUAGCAGUAACAGGAAGCGCCUGAACUGCAGGAGGCACAGGGUCUGUCUGCCAUGGACCAUCAUCA
Oreochromis niloticus (Nile tilapia) is the source of this 662-nucleotide long non-coding RNA. RefSeq lists it as uncharacterized. NCBI's taxonomy places the organism in Eukaryota, Metazoa, Chordata, Actinopteri, Cichliformes, Cichlidae. The record is from RefSeq and is a predicted model, not a curated record. The transcript has 2 exons.